UCCCUGGUGCCUCAGUGGUAAGGGAUCUGCCUGUCAAUGCAGGAGACACAGGUUCAAUCCCUGGUCUGGGAA
This 72-nucleotide transfer RNA is filed under the name Ovis aries (sheep). It matches the Rfam family "tRNA". From Rfam's summary of the family: Transfer RNA (tRNA) molecules are approximately 80 nucleotides in length. The record is from Rfam by way of RNAcentral. Lineage: Eukaryota; Metazoa; Chordata; Mammalia; Artiodactyla; Bovidae.